CGUAGGGUGCAAGCGUUAAUCGGAAUUACUGGGGCGUAAAGCGUGCGCAGGCGGUUAUAUAAGACAGAUGUGAAAUCCCCGGGCGUCAACCUGGGAACGUGCAUUUGUUGACUGUAUAGCUAGAGUACGGCAGAGGGGGAGUGGAAUUCCGCGUGUAGCAGUGAAAUGCGUAGAUAUGCGGAGGAACACCGAUGGCGAAGGCAAUCCCUGGGCCUGUACUGACGCUCAUGCACGAAAGCGUGGGGAGGACAAACAGGAUU
Molecule: ribosomal RNA, 260 nt
Filed under: uncultured bacterium
Lineage: Bacteria
Description: partial 16S ribosomal RNA
Rfam family: Bacterial small subunit ribosomal RNA
Source: RNAcentral